CGGGGUGUGGCGCAGCUCGGUUAGCGCGCCUGCUUUGGGAGCAGGAGGCCGUGAGUUCGAAUCUCACCACCCCGA
Molecule: transfer RNA, 75 nt
Filed under: Rhodothermus sp. AH-315-K08
Lineage: Bacteria; Pseudomonadati; Rhodothermota; Rhodothermia; Rhodothermales; Rhodothermaceae
Description: tRNA-Pro
Rfam family: tRNA
About the family: Transfer RNA (tRNA) molecules are approximately 80 nucleotides in length. Their secondary structure includes four short double-helical elements and three loops (D, anti-codon, and T loops).
Source: RNAcentral